This 253-nucleotide ribosomal RNA is filed under the name uncultured bacterium. RNAcentral's name for it is "partial 16S ribosomal RNA". It matches the Rfam family "Bacterial small subunit ribosomal RNA", at positions 524 to 776 of the family's 1533-position model. The record is from RNAcentral.
UACGUAGGGCGCAAGCGUUAUCCGGAAUUAUUGGGCGUAAAGAGCUCGUAGGCGGUUUGUCGCGUCUGCCGUGAAAGUCCGGGGCUCAACUCCGGAUCUGCGGUGGGUACGGGCAGACUAGAGUGAUGUAGGGGAGACUGGAAUUCCUGGUGUAGCGGUGGAAUGCGUAGAGAUCCGGAAGAACACCCGUGGCGAAGGCGGUUCUCUGGGACGGUACUGACGCUGAGACGCGAAAGCGUGGGGAGCGAACAGG